This 460-nucleotide ribosomal RNA is filed under the name uncultured bacterium. Its description in RNAcentral is "partial 16S ribosomal RNA". It matches the Rfam family "Bacterial small subunit ribosomal RNA", at positions 338 to 795 of the family's 1533-position model. The record is from RNAcentral.
CCUACGGGUGGCAGCAGUGAGGAAUAUUGGUCAAUGGGCGCGAGCCUGAACCAGCCAAGUAGCGUGAAGGAUGACUGCCCUACGGGUUGUAAACUUCUUUUAUAAAGAAAUAAAGUGAGGCACGUGUGCCUUUUUGUAUUAACUUUUUAAAUAGGGAUCGCCUAACUCCGGCCAGGCACCCGCGUUAAUACGGAGGAUCCGCGCGUUAGCCGGAUUUAUUGGGUUUAAAGGGAGCGUAGAUGGGUUGUUAAGUCAGUUGUGAAAGUUUGCGGCUCAACCGUAAAAUUGCAAUUGUUACUGGCAGUCUUGAGUACAGUUGAGGUAGGCGGAAUUCGUGGGGUAGCGGUGAAAUGCUUAGAUAUCACGAAGAACUCCGAUUGCGAAGGCAGCUUACUAAACUGCCACUGACAUUGAUGCUCGAAAGUGUGGGUAUCAAACAGGAUUAGAUACCCUUGUAGUC